GGAUGUGAGGGCGAUCUGGCUGCGACAUCUGUCACCCCAUUGAUCGCCAGGGUUGAUUCGGCUGAUCUGGCUGGCUAGGCGGGUGUCCCCUUCCUCCCUCACUGCUCCAUGUGCGUCCCUCCCGAAGCUGCGCGCUCGGUCGAAGAGGACGACCAUCCCCGAUAGAGGAGGACCGGUCUUCGGUCAAGGGUAUAGGAGUAGCUGCGCUCCCCUGCUAGAACCUCCAAACAAGCUCUCAAAAAUGAGUGUGGGACAGUGAGACCGAGACAAAGCAAGAUUUUUUUUCUUUUUUUUUCUU
This is an unclassified non-coding RNA of Dipodomys ordii (Ord's kangaroo rat), 298 nucleotides long. Its record names the gene 7SK. It matches the Rfam family "7SK RNA". Rfam says of the family: 7SK was discovered as an abundant small nuclear RNA in the mid-70s but a possible function has only recently been suggested. Two independent studies have found that 7SK RNA binds the CDK9/cyclin T complex (known as elongation factor P-TEFb). NCBI's taxonomy places the organism in Eukaryota, Metazoa, Chordata, Mammalia, Rodentia, Heteromyidae. The record is from Ensembl.